GACCUCAAAUCAGGUAGGGCUACCCGCUGAACUUAAGCAUAUCAAUAAGCGGAGGAAAAGAAACUAACAAGGAUUCCCCCAGUAACGGCGAGCGAACAGGGAAGAGCUCAAAUUUGAAAUCUGGCGUCCUCAGGGCGUCCGAGUUGUAAUCUAUAGAGACGUUUUCCGUGCCGGACCGUGUCCAAGUCCCUUGGAACAGGGUAUCAAAGAGGGUGACAAUCCCGUACUUGACACGACGACCGGCGCUCUGUGAUACGUCUUCUACGAGUCGAGUUGUUUGGGAAUGCAGCUCAAAAUGGGUGGUGAGUUCCAUCUAAAGCUAAAUAUUGGCGAGAGACCGAUAGCGAACAAGUACCGUGAGGGAAAGAUGAAAAGCACUUUGGAAAGAGAGUU
RNAcentral lists this ribosomal RNA (393 nucleotides) under Tremella caloplacae. Its description in RNAcentral is "partial large subunit ribosomal RNA". It matches the Rfam family "Eukaryotic large subunit ribosomal RNA", at positions 1 to 389 of the family's 3401-position model. The record is from RNAcentral. Lineage: Eukaryota; Fungi; Basidiomycota; Tremellomycetes; Tremellales; Tremellaceae.